Molecule: ribosomal RNA, 328 nt
Filed under: Trichomonas vaginalis G3
Lineage: Eukaryota; Parabasalia; Trichomonadida; Trichomonadidae
Description: 5.8S ribosomal RNA
Rfam family: 5.8S ribosomal RNA (bases 58-213)
Source: RNAcentral
UUCUUUUAUUAAACAAAAACCAAUACAAAAUUAAAAACUAACUUCAUCAAAAACCAAGUCUCUAAGCAAUGGAUGUCUUGGCUCCUCACACGAUGAAGAACGUGGCAUAAUGUGUUAAGUAACCGGAGUUGCAAACAUCAUGACAGGUUAAUCUUUGAAUGCAAAUUGCGCUAAACUCGAUCUCGGUCGAGAAGCAUGGGUGUGACAGUACUACAUCUUUUAUAAUAAUUCUUAUUCUAAGCGAAUAAGUAAAUAAUAUAUAAGACAAACAACACGUAGUCUGCCAUACGCAGGAAGACCCGCUGAACUGAAGCAUCUCAUUAAGCGG